CAGCAGCCGCGGUAAUACAGAGGGUGCGAGCGUUAAUCGGAUUUACUGGGCGUAAAGCGUGCGUAGGCGGCUUUUUAAGUCGGAUGUGAAAUCCCUGAGCUUAACUUAGGAAUUGCAUUCGAUACUGGGAAGCUAGAGUAUGGGAGAGGAUGGUAGAAUUCCAGGUGUAGCGGUGAAAUGCGUAGAGAUCUGGAGGAAUACCGAUGGCGAAGGCAGCCAUCUGGCCUAAUACUGACGCUGAGGUACGAAAGCAUGGGGAGCAAACAGGACUAGAGACCCCUGUAGUCCCUGUCUCUUAUAC
Molecule: ribosomal RNA, 301 nt
Filed under: uncultured bacterium
Lineage: Bacteria
Description: partial 16S ribosomal RNA
Rfam family: Bacterial small subunit ribosomal RNA
Source: RNAcentral